Molecule: ribosomal RNA, 686 nt
Filed under: Pseudomonas sp.
Lineage: Bacteria; Pseudomonadati; Pseudomonadota; Gammaproteobacteria; Pseudomonadales; Pseudomonadaceae
Description: bacterial SSU rRNA
Rfam family: Bacterial small subunit ribosomal RNA
Source: RNAcentral
AGUCGAGCGGAUGACAGGAGCUUGCUCCUGAAUUCAGCGGCGGACGGGUGAGUAAUGCCUAGGAAUCUGCCUGGUAGUGGGGGACAACGUUUCGAAAGGAACGCUAAUACCGCAUACGUCCUACGGGAGAAAGCAGGGGACCUUCGGGCCUUGCGCUAUCAGAUGAGCCUAGGUCGGAUUAGCUAGUUGGUGAGGUAAUGGCUCACCAAGGCGACGAUCCGUAACUGGUCUGAGAGGAUGAUCAGUCACACUGGAACUGAGACACGGUCCAGACUCCUACGGGAGGCAGCAGUGGGGAAUAUUGGACAAUGGGCGAAAGCCUGAUCCAGCCAUGCCGCGUGUGUGAAGAAGGUCUUCGGAUUGUAAAGCACUUUAAGUUGGGAGGAAGGGCAGUAAAUUAAUACUUUGCUGUUUUGACGUUACCGACAGAAUAAGCACCGGCUAACUCUGUGCCAGCAGCCGCGGUAAUACAGAGGGUGCAAGCGUUAAUCGGAAUUACUGGGCGUAAAGCGCGCGUAGGUGGUUCGUUAAGUUGGAUGUGAAAUCCCCGGGCUCAACCUGGGAACUGCAUUCAAAACUGUCGAGCUAGAGUAUGGUAGAGGGUGGUGGAAUUUCCUGUGUAGCGGUGAAAUGCGUAGAUAUAGGAAGGAACACCAGUGGCGAAGGCGACCACCUGGACUGAUACU